Molecule: ribosomal RNA, 495 nt
Filed under: uncultured bacterium
Lineage: Bacteria
Description: partial 16S ribosomal RNA
Rfam family: Bacterial small subunit ribosomal RNA
Source: RNAcentral
GACGAACGCUGGCGGCGUGCCUAAUACAUGCAAGUCGAACGCUGAAGGAGGAGCUUGCUUCUCUGGAUGAGUUGCGAACGGGUGAGUAACGCGUAGGUAACCUGCCUGGUAGCGGGGGAUAACUAUUGGAAACGAUAGCUAAUACCGCAUAAUAGCAGCUGUUGCAUGACAACUGUUUGAAAGGUGCAAUUGCACCACUACCAGAUGGACCUGCGUUGUAUUGGCUAGUUGGUGGGGUAACGGCUCACCAAGGCGGCGAUACAUAGCCGCCCUGGGAGGGGGAUCGGCCACCCUGGGACGGGGACACGGCCCAGACGCCUACGGGAGGCAGCAGUAGGGAAUCUUCGGCAAUGGACGGAAGUCUGACCGAGCAACGCCGCGUGAGUGAAGAAGGUUUUCGGAUCGUAAAGCUCUGUUGUAAGAGAAGAACGAGUGUGAGAGUGGAAAGUUCACACUGUGACGGUAUCUUACCAGAAAGGGACGGCUAACUACGUG